Molecule: ribosomal RNA, 253 nt
Filed under: uncultured bacterium
Lineage: Bacteria
Description: partial 16S ribosomal RNA
Rfam family: Bacterial small subunit ribosomal RNA
Source: RNAcentral
UACGAAGGGGGCUAGCGUUGCUCGGAAUGACUGGGCGUAAAGGGCGCGUAGGCGGAUGGUACAGUCAGAUGUGAAAUUCCUGGGCUCAACCUGGGGGCUGCAUUUGAUACGUGCUGUCUUGAGUUCGGAAGAGGGUCGUGGAAUUCCCAGUGUAGAGGUGAAAUUCGUAGAUAUUGGGAAGAACACCGGUGGCGAAGGCGGGUCUCUGGGCCGUAACUGACGCUGAGGAGCGAAAGCGUGGGGAGCGAACAGG